This 589-nucleotide ribosomal RNA is filed under the name uncultured bacterium. RNAcentral's name for it is "bacterial SSU rRNA". It matches the Rfam family "Bacterial small subunit ribosomal RNA", at positions 796 to 1384 of the family's 1533-position model. The record is from RNAcentral.
CACGCNGUAAACGCUGAGUGCUAGGUGUUAGGUCCUUUCCGGGACUUAGUGCCGACGCUAACGCAUUAAGCACUCCGCCUGGGGAGUACGACCGCAAGGUUGAAACUCAAAGGAAUUGACGGGGGCCCGCACAAGCGGUGGAGCAUGUGGUUUAAUUCGAAGCAACGCGAAGAACCUCACCAGGUCUUGACAUCCCGAUGCCCGCUCUAGAGAUAGAGUUUUACUUUUUGUACAUCGGAGACAGGUGGUGCAUGGUUGUCGUCAGCUCGUGUCGUGAGAUGUUGGGUUAAGNNNNNCAACGAGCGCAACCCUUAUUGUUAGUUGCCAUCAUUAAGUUGGGCACUCUAGCGAGACUGCCGGUAAUAAACCGGAGGAAGGUGGGGAUGACGUCAAAUCAUCAUGCCCCUUAUGACCUGGGCUACACACGUGCUACAAUGGUUGGUACAACGAGUCGCAAGCCGGUGACGGCAAGCUAAUCUCUGAAAGCCAAUCUCAGUUCGGAUUGUAGGCUGCAACUCGCCUACAUGAAGUCGGAAUCGCUAGUAAUCGCGGAUCAGCACGCCGCGGUGAAUACGUUCCCGGGCCUUGU